RNAcentral lists this transfer RNA (72 nucleotides) under Pseudotrichonotus altivelis. RNAcentral's name for it is "tRNA-Val". It matches the Rfam family "tRNA". From Rfam's summary of the family: Transfer RNA (tRNA) molecules are approximately 80 nucleotides in length. Their secondary structure includes four short double-helical elements and three loops (D, anti-codon, and T loops). The record is from RNAcentral. Lineage: Eukaryota; Metazoa; Chordata; Actinopteri; Aulopiformes; Pseudotrichonotidae.
CAGAACAUAGCUAAAAUAGAACAGCAUCUCCCUUACACUGAGAAGUUGUCCGUGCAAGUCGGACUGCUCUGA